ACAGGAUACGCACGAGCUGCGUUCAAACUGAGGUGGGAGAGAACAGGAAAAAACUUAUCCAGAAAGGUGCAAAUCGCACACACAACCAACGGCUGAAAAGCGACUAUGUCGAAACGAGCACCAAGUCGGCGGACGCAAAAGGCUUCCAGACGACACCUCCAUGUUCUCGUGGCUUUGCGCCUUGAGGCUUCAACGGUCGGUAUCAUGGAUUCACGUUCAAGCUCCACCAAAUCGAGUCCAUCUUCAUCGAACCGCAACCGAUAUCAAGCUCUCCCCUUAAAUCGUAUUUCUACGCAGUCGUCGAAACGUAAUCGCGCCGAUAAAUGAGACAAGAAGUGAAAGAACAACUUACCGGAUCAGACUCUUGAUGCGGUGAAUCUCCCACGACUUCCAGGGCGAAAAUGGGGAUGCAGUGUGGAGAAAAUUGUGAAGAAUUGAGCGUUAUGCAGAAUGGAGAGCUUGGUGCAAAAGAGGAAAAUCCUGUUGAUGCAGACUGAACAAUGAAGUGGAGAGGAAGCAUGAAAAAGUGCAGAAGAAAAAUGAAGAUUGAGACUUGAAGAAAAAAUGAAGAUCCUCUUGAAUGGUAUGUUACAAGGUUCUCUAAGGUUCAAUUCAGCUGGAUAUUUCUGUCAUCACCUUACAAGCCAUAGCGCAUUUGAAUAAUGCUGGACGGCAUUCCUCAAACAGGUUCCUUUGGUUUGUAUUGGUUUUAAUGGAUAUGGGAGUUAAUGUGUUCGUAAUGACGGUUUAAACUUGCUGCUAGGUUAUUCCGAGGUGUAGUCAGCUGAAAACCUGUUAGUUACCUUGCUAGGUCACUUUUCCAUUGUUCAAUUGAAGCUUGAUUAAAAUCAUGCAUCGCUACCUGUUAAUGGUUAUUAGUUCAAUCUGUUUUGGCUCGUUUCUUUAAUGAUUGUUAGGAGCUUUGGAAAGUUGGCGAUUGCGAAUGGAUUGCGGAUUCUUCUGGUUACCAUCCUUUUGUUUCCAAUCGGUGUGAUAGAUCUCACUGCUCGUAGUUUUGGCAGUGCCAUUUUGGGUUAUGGAUUUGAAGUUUUGGUUGCGGCUUCGGACUUCUCGGGAACGCUUGGAUGGCUUUAGAUUGAAGCUUAAUUUGAAAGGUUUGGUUGCUGGUACGUUCGUGUCGCGUUUACGCAUUUUGGUUGGCUGUUUGUGGCAUUACAGCAUACCGGUGUUGGUGUUCCAACUUCUGCAGGUUGAUGGAAAUUGGCUGCAAGUCUGUUUUGGUUGUUAACUGCUGCAAACGUAUGGUCUGGUGUGCGUCUGAACUGGGCGAGAUUCACCUCACCUCCUUGCUUCCAACAUGGUGCGAAUGGCGCACCUGCAGGUCCGCUCAAAAGUGAUGUUAACCGCGUUGCCGGUAGCUGGAAAUUGGCAAGUGAUUAGGUUAGUUUCAUCAUGGUUAAUGCUUAAAACCAUAUUAUGAACGUCGUAUUGAUUUUCCAGGUCGGGAUUACGUUAGCUUUGGGAUGGCUUGGAAUGGAGUUGUGGGAUUAUUCGUUUUUGGUUCUGCGAAUUGGAACUAAGUUGAAGAGCUUGGAUGGUCAUAAGGUGGAAUUGAUUUUGUCUUUAAGUGAAAAGGUGAAUUAUGUUAGUUAGCAAAAUUUGUUUUUCUGUUAGUGAAAUGAAUUAUGUUACAUUAAGUUUUGGAAGAUAGUUAAUGAGAUGGCUUUGUAAAUUGUUAACCAACCGUAGCCUUGUUAGCUGUAGUGGGAGAAUUGAAUGAAACAGUCUUGUCUUGACUUGUUGGAUUGUUGAUCGAACUAUCAUCGGUUUGUUACCGGUUAGGCGAAUUAGAUGAGUUGAGUUAGCAUGUUAACUUGUUUAGUGGUUAUGUUAAUUCAGUUAUUUGGUUAAUUGGAGAAUGUAGGAGGUUAUCUAAAUGUUUAACAGAAUAGAAAAAAAUCUUGAAUCAAAUGUUUUGGUGGAACUGCCAUCGGCUUUUAUGCCGACAUUUGGUUGAAUUCAAGUGUGGGUAUGCUCUGCAGGUUUGUUACAUGGUUUGACAUAUGCUUGAGAUGCAUUUCCACGGAGCAACGAUCACAAGUAUGAUGGCUUGUUUGGAAUGCGUCAUUGGCACUUGGAUCGCAUAGAAGAUUUAAAUUCCACAGAGCUGUUUUGGAUUUAGAUUAAAUGGUUGUAAUGAAAUAUUUUGGAUGUAUUUAUGUAUGUUAGAUGAUGAAUUGGAAUGUUGUUUUGCGAAGUUGCCGUCAUGGACUUGCUUGAAUCUUGAGAUGACUAUGUACAUAUGCUUUAGAAAUUAGUAAAAUGUGAGAAAUGGUUUUGAAUGGUUUA
Long non-coding RNA from Lathyrus oleraceus (garden pea), 2310 nucleotides. RefSeq lists it as uncharacterized. NCBI's taxonomy places the organism in Eukaryota, Viridiplantae, Streptophyta, Magnoliopsida, Fabales, Fabaceae. The transcript has 5 exons. The record is from RefSeq and is a predicted model, not a curated record.